AUUGAACGCUGGCGGCAGGCCUAACACAUGCAAGUCGAGCGGAUGAAGGGAGCUUGCUCCUGGAUUCAGCGGCGGACGGGUGAGUAAUGCCUAGGAAUCUGCCUGGUAGUGGGGGAUAACGUCCGGAAACGGGCGCUAAUACCGCAUACGUCCUGAGGGAGAAAGUGGGGGAUCUUCGGACCUCACGCUAUCAGAUGAGCCUAGGUCGGAUUAGCUAGUUGGUGGGGUAAAGGCCUACCAAGGCGACGAUCCGUAACUGGUCUGAGAGGAUGAUCAGUCACACUGGAACUGAGACACGGUCCAGACUCCUACGGGAGGCAGCAGUGGGGAAUAUUGGACAAAGGGCGAAAGCCUGAUCCAGCCAUGCCGCGUGUGUGAAGAAGGUCUUCGGAUUGUAAAGCACUUUAAGUUGGGAGGAAGGGCAGUAAGUUAAUACCUUGCUGUUUUGACGUUACCAACAGAAUAAGCACCAGCUAACUUCGUG
This 484-nucleotide ribosomal RNA is filed under the name uncultured bacterium. RNAcentral's name for it is "partial 16S ribosomal RNA". It matches the Rfam family "Bacterial small subunit ribosomal RNA", at positions 30 to 507 of the family's 1533-position model. The record is from RNAcentral.